ACUAACCACUAUACGAUCACGGCGAGCUAGAGGGCAGCUGCUUUAGCGCCCACUCUUACCGCUUUUCCUUGCCUCCGUAACAUUGACGUCCCGGGAGCCUGGGUACUAAAGCACCAUACGCAGUGGUGAACCCAGACCACAUACCCGAGACAUGUCGGUCGACCAGUUCAAGAAGGAGGCCUUAACUUUUCAACUGUACGUGAUACCUGCAGGAACGUGUGUCCCACCUGGAGCCAAGAAACGACUCGCAAUUGCCCUCCGUCUAGCAGGCUGCAUCCCUGGCCAUUCAAAAGCAAGCACUUUGCACGAACUAAACAUCUUCGUUAAGGCCAAGGACAAUAUCUUAAUAUACACGAAUUGUAAGGAAGUGACUUUUGGUGAUUGAAAAAAAGCCAUAAGUAGACUUGGUUACAGGAUUACACAAUGACUUUAAUUCAU
Molecule: long non-coding RNA, 438 nt
Organism: Electrophorus electricus (electric eel)
Lineage: Eukaryota; Metazoa; Chordata; Actinopteri; Gymnotiformes; Gymnotidae
Source: RefSeq, a predicted model, not a curated record